Molecule: long non-coding RNA, 1874 nt
Filed under: Homo sapiens (human)
Lineage: Eukaryota; Metazoa; Chordata; Mammalia; Primates; Hominidae
Description: HSALNT0095664
Source: RNAcentral
CAUGGCCAAACCAUAUCAGGGCUGCUCUGUGGCAUUGUUGGUGCAUUAUAUACACACCCACCCAAGCACUCUUUCCUGAAGAAACACCAUGUCCACCUGGGAGUACAGAAGUGAACAGGGCAGAAUCCCUGAUCUUGAAAAGCAUUUAGUGUAAAUAUAUAAACCAACAACCACAAGAUGAACUAAUAGAUUAUGAUGCAAAAGGCACUGAAAACUUGCUCUGGGAGGAAAGAAGAGGGCAUAGGGAGACUUCCUUUCCUGAGAAGGUGACUUUUCAGCUGAAUUUGAAGGAGGAGCCAGAGGCGGGAGCUGGGAGAAGAGAGACUGUUAGGAGGCUGCUGAAAUAGUCCAGGCGAGAGAUCUUGAAGCCCUGAACGUCAAUAUGUGCGGCACGAAGAGGAAGAAUCGAAUCUGAGCCAUUUGGUAUUUGCAAUGGAAAGGACCUCCUAACAGGAGGGGUGAGAUGUGGGAGGAGGAUUUCCAGGCUUUUCAGUUGGCUUGUGACACUACCCAAGACAGGAAGAGAGAGUGAAGUGUCGUUUUGGGCAUGUUGUUUUGGAAAUGUGGGCGUGGAAUCUGGGAGAGAAAACUCUAAUGGAAUAUUUUUCUUAUGACACAUUCCCGUUAAGCCUUCAUUCCUCGGGUUUGGCUAAGGCCACCGUGGACAGAUUGGUGGGGGAAGUGCUGUUCUGAGAUCCUGGGUGUAGUCUUACAGUCCUAACAGCAAGGCAGCUUUCUUUCCCUGUCUCUGCGUGGGGAACAGAAUUUGUGCAGGCUCAAGUGUGCCUGGCAAGAAGGCCAAACUGAAAACACCUUCCACAGCUCUGGGGCCUAACGUUGAAUUUCCAUCUUCAGCCGCACGUUUUCCAGGUGAGCUUCUCAAGCAGGAUAAAUUCCUGCAGAAGCACAGAAAUCUCAGGAGUCCCAAGGUUCCUAGCAAAUUAGAAUCUUGAGGUAGGAGAGGAGCCAGGCCCCACCCCAGAAGCCCAGUAGGAACUGGCACCAAGAGAAAAUCGACAAUAAAAGCAAUUGGUGAUUUGUGCCAUCAGAAGAUAGGCUGGCCAGGACAGGUCAAGGAGAAUGAGACAAGUUACAGCAAAUUUUAAUACAAUUGCUCUGAUUCUAGGUAAUUUCAGGAUAGCAUAAUAGAAUUAUUUUACACUUGAAGAUACUUUGGGAUGCAUGAACAUAAAGCCUCUGCCAUUUGCACUGUUUCAUUUACUGAACACCAAUCCUAUUAGUUUGCUCUAUAUUACAGUUAUUAUCCCCAUUUUAUGGAUGCAGAAAGUGGAGGGCAGACAGGUUAAAUGAUCUCCCUCAAAUCGCCUACCGGGUAAGUGGCAUAUCUGGGAUUUGGAAGCAGCCUGUCUGACUCCAGAGGCUGCCCUCUUAGCCACAGGCUCCACCAGCACGUGUAUGUGACUGACACAUGUGGAUGGCACUUUGUACCGCCAAAAGUACUCUCUUAUAUUUAUGUCCUCCAAAUAGACAGAAACAGGGCCAAGAUGAAACCUUUAGCCCGAGAUGGCUUUUUACAGUGUCCUCUGGGGCUGGAAGGUAGACCCAGUAUCCGGUAUCCUGCAGUACCUUCCAGGCAUGAGCCUAAGAAACAACAUCAGAGUGAAGCACACUGGCUUCUGCUUCACACAGGACAUGCUUCAUAAAGCCUGCGCUUCCUAUAAGAUCACACCUUCCACCUCAGCCCCUAGUCCUGGGACCAGAGCCACCAAGAGGACCUAAAUCAAGUUAUUAAUUGGCUUUCAACCAUAAGGAAGAACUUUCUUGUAUGCCUUACUUAUUUAUAUCAGCAUGGACUCAUGAAUUCUUAUUCAGAAAACCUCAAUACUUAAUAAAAAAAGAUAUGUGUCAUUAAA